AACGAACGCUGGCGGCAUGCCUAACACAUGCAAGUCGAACGAGACCUUCGGGUUUGGUGGCGCACGGGUGCGUAACGCGUGGGGACCUGCCCUUAGGUUCGGAAUAACUCCCCGAAUGGGGUGCUAAUACCGGCUAAUGUCUUCGAACCAAAGAUUUAUCGCCUUUGGAUGGGCGCGAGUUGGCUUAGCUUGUUGGUAGCGUAAAAGCCUACCAAGGCUAGGUGACAUAGCGGGUAUGAGAGGCGGGGCAGCGACACUGGGGCUGAGACACGGCGCAGAAUAUUACGGGAGGCAGCAGUGGGGAAUAUAGGAAAAUCGGCGAAAGCCAGAACCAGCACGGCCGGGUGAGUGCUGAAGGUCUUAGGGAUGUAAAGCUCUUUUACCCGGGAUGAUAAUGACAGUACCGGGAGAAUAAGCUCCGGCUAACUCCGUG
Molecule: ribosomal RNA, 433 nt
Filed under: uncultured bacterium
Lineage: Bacteria
Description: partial 16S ribosomal RNA
Rfam family: Bacterial small subunit ribosomal RNA
Source: RNAcentral